GUGCUUGCUUUGGCAGCACAUAUUCUAAAAUUGGAACAAUACGGAGAAGAUUAGCAUGGCCUCUGUGCAAGGAUGACACAAAAAUUUGUGAAGCCUUCCAUAUUUAG
Molecule: small nuclear RNA, 107 nt
Organism: Onychomys torridus (southern grasshopper mouse)
Lineage: Eukaryota; Metazoa; Chordata; Mammalia; Rodentia; Cricetidae
Source: RefSeq, a predicted model, not a curated record